This is a long non-coding RNA of Coturnix japonica (Japanese quail), 701 nucleotides long. RefSeq lists it as uncharacterized. The record is from RefSeq and is a predicted model, not a curated record. Lineage: Eukaryota; Metazoa; Chordata; Aves; Galliformes; Phasianidae.
UAUUGUGACUCAGUCUCUGCUGACAUCAGGGCCGGCAGCUGUGUGUUACUCAGGAGCAUCCCUCCCAGCUGUGCCUCAGUGCCCAUCCUGCUCCUUUGGCACAGGGGAACUGCUGUAAACAUUCCAGGAAUUACGUUCUCCUGGCAUUAACACAAGGUGAUCUGCCUAACAGUACUUCUGAAGGAUUAACAACAAUAGAAGAAAGAGCGUGUGCCUCCAGACUACAAUGUCUGGCAGUGGGGAUACACCACGCUCUCAGCUCUCUCCAUCUGCCAUACAUUCAACACAAGCCACAUCAGAGCAACCAUCUGAGAUCCACUCAUUAGCCCAGCAUCUGCCAUCCUGCCUCCAACUGAAGUUGUGCUGAACAACAGCCACGCUGAAAAUGCAGCUUCAGAGUCGUGGUAAUCGAUGUGCAGGGACAGAGAAAGCACUGAGGCUCCUACACAAGCUGGAACACGUAACUUCUCACCAUAUCCUCUUUUUGCAACUGAAAGCUGGGCUGUGUGCCAUGUGUGGAUGGACCACACACCGUCUAAGGCCCCUGAUCGGACAGCAGAGAGAAGCUGUUACCUCUGAUGGCAGACCCUCCCACUUGCACAGGGUGAAGUGAUUUGCCCUGCACUGGAAGAUGGAGUGGCUUAGAAUUAAACACAAGAGAGAAAGACUGAUAUAAAGCUUUAGGAAAGGAGCCAAAUAGA